RNAcentral lists this ribosomal RNA (253 nucleotides) under uncultured bacterium. RNAcentral's name for it is "partial 16S ribosomal RNA". It matches the Rfam family "Bacterial small subunit ribosomal RNA", at positions 524 to 776 of the family's 1533-position model. The record is from RNAcentral.
UACAGAGGUCUCAAGCGUUGUUCGGAUUCAUUGGGCGUAAAGGGUGCGUAGGUGGCGCCGUAAGUGGGGUGUGAAAUCUCGGGGCUUAACUCCGAAACUGCAUUCCAUACUGCGGUGCUUGAGGACUGGAGAGGAGACUGGAAUUUACGGUGUAGCAGUGAAAUGCGUAGAGAUCGUAAGGAAGACCAGUGGCGAAGGCGGGUCUCUGGACAGUUCCUGACACUGAGGCACGAAGGCCAGGGGAGCAAACGGG